CAGUAGCCGCGGUAAUACGAAGGGGGCUAGCGUUGUUCGGAUUUACUGGGCGUAAAGCGCACGUAGGCGGAUCGAUCAGUCAGGGGUGAAAUCCUGGAGCUCAACUCCAGAACUGCCUUUGAUACUGUCGAUCUCGAGUCCGGAAGAGGUGAGUGGAACUCCUAGUGUAGAGGUGGAAUUCGUAGAUAUUAGGAAGAACACCAGUGGCGAAGGCGGCUCACUGGUCCGGUACUGACGCUGAGGUGCGAAAGCGUGCGGAGCAAACAGGAUUAGAUACCCCGGUAGUCCCUGUCUCUUAUAC
This 301-nucleotide ribosomal RNA is filed under the name uncultured bacterium. Its description in RNAcentral is "partial 16S ribosomal RNA". It matches the Rfam family "Bacterial small subunit ribosomal RNA", at positions 509 to 807 of the family's 1533-position model. The record is from RNAcentral.